This is a long non-coding RNA of Rosa rugosa (rugosa rose), 472 nucleotides long. RefSeq lists it as uncharacterized. The record is from RefSeq and is a predicted model, not a curated record. Lineage: Eukaryota; Viridiplantae; Streptophyta; Magnoliopsida; Rosales; Rosaceae. The transcript is spliced from 3 exons.
UGAACCAGUGAGUUCGUCUUUAAGUUCUGAACAAGUCUCCUGAAGGAAUCGAAGCGAAAGGAGGACAUUUUUACGUUGAUCGGAGCUUCGCCAGUUUCUGCAAAUUCUCGCCGGUUUCUGGAAAAAUUCCGGCCACCUCGACUGUUUUAGGUGAUUGACGGUCUCCCUUGGGUGAGCGGUUUCGGUGUGUAUUGUGUUGAAUUGAAGACGCAGCGGGAAUAUCGAGCGGAUAAUCCUACAGGACUGGAGAAUUCAGGAAGGUGAUCGAACCGUGUAGAGUAGCUGCUUUGUAAUACUCUGAUUUUCAGUUGUGAGGUUUGUUAUGCUCAUUAGAGCUUUACAAUUUACUUUGUACGAGUGAGUUGUAAUAAUUAACUCGAGGUCUUCGAGUUUUGAAUUUGAGCGUGAGUGGCGAGGUUGUUUCUGAGAAAAAAAAAUUCAGAACGUUUAUUUGUUUAAGUUGUUUAAUUCA